Long non-coding RNA from Pogoniulus pusillus (Red-fronted tinkerbird), 709 nucleotides. RefSeq lists it as uncharacterized. NCBI's taxonomy places the organism in Eukaryota, Metazoa, Chordata, Aves, Piciformes, Lybiidae. The record is from RefSeq and is a predicted model, not a curated record. The transcript has 5 exons.
CCCACCCCUGACCCCAAGGUGCAUUUCAUCCCUUGUCCUGGUCUGAGCAGUGCUAUGGAGGUGUACAUUCCUAAGUUUCUCCUCAGGUUAUUGCUUGAUACUCUGGGGGCAGCAUGCUGAGUAUCUUGUUUGUGGAAGCUCCUGAGUGUGAAGGUCAUGCAUCAUUUCUUCUCAGCUCCUUCAGGAGACAAGGAACUUCACUGUCCUGCAUGUGGGUAAGUUCCAGCAACUGAAACUGAGAGUGGCCUUUAUUUCCAGUAUGCCCCAGGAAGAUAGCAAAGAGCUCAAGCACUGGAAAUGCACCACUCCUGCAUUAGAUAUCACAGGACCUCUCAUGUUGGAAGGGACCUCCAGAGACUGAGUCAAGCCCCUGCCAGGGCAGGAUCACCGAGGGUAGUUCACAUGGGAGCACAUCCAGUCUUCCUGCAGGUUCAGGAUCAUGGGAGUUCACCUAUAAGGAGUUGCUUUCAAAAGAAAGCUAAAAUAACAAGAUGAGCCUUGAUCUACAUUUAAAUAUCUUUUAAUCCUUUUGGGCAGUGUAUUCCAUAGUCAUAAACCAUCUGCUGCAUAAGCCAGGUUGUCUUCUUACAAGUUUCAAUUUCAUUGUCUGCUUCAUGAGAGUGUUAACAGGGUUUUAUGAAAACGAGGCACUCAUGGAAAGAACCUGUACCCAAACCCUUUGUGCUUUAAAGAUAUGGCCUAGAUUUUU